AGAGUUUGAUCCUGGCUCAGAACGAACGCUGGCGGCAGGCCUAACACAUGCAAGUCGAGCGCGCCUUCGGGUGAGCGGCGGACGGGUUAGUAACGCGUGGGAACGUGCCCUUUUCUACGGAAUAGCCUCUGGAAACGGAGAGUAAUACCGUAUACGCCCUUUGGGGGAAAGAUUUAUCGGAGAAGGAUCGGCCCGCGUUAGAUUAGGUAGUUGGUGGGGUAACGGCCUACCAAGCCUACGAUCUAUAGCUGGUUUUAGAGGAUGAUCAGCAACACUGGGACUGAGACACGGCCCAGACUCCUACGGGAGGCAGCAGUGGGGAAUCUUAGACAAUGGGCGCAAGCCUGAUCUAGCCAUGCCGCGUGAGUGAUGAAGGCCUUAGGGUCGUAAAGCUCUUUCGCUGGGGAAGAUAAUGACGGUACCCAGUAAAGAAACCCCGGCUAACUCCGUGCCAGCAGCCGCGGUAAUACGGAGGGGGUUAGCGUUGUUCGGAAUUACUGGGCGUAAAGCGCGCGUAGGCGGAUUAGAAAGUUGGGGGUGAAAUCCCGGGGCUCAACCUCGGAACUGCCUCCAAAACUGCUAGUCUAGAGUUCGAGAGAGGUGAGUGGAAUUCCGAGUGUAGAGGUGAAAUUCGUAGAUAUUCGGAGGAACACCAGUGGCGAAGGCGGCUCACUGGCUCGAUACUGACGCUGAGGUGCGAAAGUGUGGGGAGCAAACAGGAUUAGAUACCCUGGUAGUCCACACCGUAAACGAUGAAUGCCAGUCGUCGGGUAGUAUACUAUUCGGUGACACACCUAACGGAUUAAGCAUUCCGCCUGGGGAGUACGGUCGCAAGAUUAAAACUCAAAGGAAUUGACGG
This 859-nucleotide ribosomal RNA is filed under the name uncultured marine bacterium. RNAcentral's name for it is "bacterial SSU rRNA". It matches the Rfam family "Bacterial small subunit ribosomal RNA", at positions 8 to 916 of the family's 1533-position model. The record is from RNAcentral.